This 456-nucleotide ribosomal RNA is filed under the name uncultured bacterium. RNAcentral describes it as "bacterial SSU rRNA". It matches the Rfam family "Bacterial small subunit ribosomal RNA", at positions 96 to 562 of the family's 1533-position model. The record is from RNAcentral.
CGGCGGACGGGUGAGUAACGCGUGGGUAACCUACCCCAAAGUCCGGGAUAACAGCGGGAAACCGCUGCUAAUACCGGAUGCCUUUACCUUGGGGCAUCUUGAGGUAAAGAAAGGUAACGCUUUGGGAUGGGCCCGCGUCCCAUUAGCUAGUUGGUGAGGUAACGGCUCACCAAGGCGACGAUGGGUAGCCGGCCUGAGAGGGUGGACGGCCACACUGGGACUGAGACACGGCCCAGACUCCUACGGGAGGCAGCAGUAGGGAAUAUUGCGCAAUGGACGGAAGUCUGACGCAGCGACGCCGCGUGAGCGAUGAAGGUCUUCGGAUCGUAAAGCUCUGUCCUUGGGGAAGAAGGUCUUCGGACUUGACGGUACCCAAGAAGAAAGCCCCGGCUAACUACGUGCCAGCAGCCGCGGUAAUACGUAGGGGGCGAGCGUCGUCCGGAAUUACUGGGCGUA